GCCCUUCGGGGUGGAUCAGUGGCGAACGGGUGAGUAACACGUGGGCAAUCUGCCCUGCACUCUGGGACAAGCCCUGGAAACGGGGUCUAAUACCGGAUAUGACCUUCCUCCGCAUGGGGGUGGGUGUAAAGCUCCGGCGGUGCAGGAUGAGCCCGCGGCCUAUCAGCUUGUUGGUGGGGUAAUGGCCCACCAAGGCGACGACGGGUAGCCGGCCUGAGAGGGCGACCGGCCACACUGGGACUGAGACACGGCCCAGACUCCUACGGGAGGCAGCAGUGGGGAAUAUUGCACAAUGGGCGAAAGCCUGAUGCAGCGACGCCGCGUGAGGGAUGACGGCCUUCGGGUUGUAAACCUCUUUCAGCAGGGAAGAAGCGCAAGUGACGGUACCUGCAGAAGAAGCACCGGCUAACUACGUGCCAGCAGCCGCGGUAAUACGUAGGGUGCGAGCGUUGUCCGGAAUUAUUGGGCGUAAAGAGCUCGUAGGCGGCCUGUCGCGUCGGAUGUGAAAGCCCGGGGCUUAACCCCGGGUCUGCAUUCGAUACGGGCAGGCUGGAGUGUGGUAGGGGAGAUCGGAAUUCCUGGUGUAGCGGUGAAAUG
RNAcentral lists this ribosomal RNA (597 nucleotides) under Streptomyces sp. ANA1204. RNAcentral's name for it is "bacterial SSU rRNA". It matches the Rfam family "Bacterial small subunit ribosomal RNA", at positions 75 to 688 of the family's 1533-position model. Lineage: Bacteria; Bacillati; Actinomycetota; Actinomycetes; Kitasatosporales; Streptomycetaceae. The record is from RNAcentral.